CCUACGGGAGGCAGCAGUGGGGAAUAUUGGACAAUGGGCGAAAGCCUGAUCCAGCAAUGCCGCGUGAGUGAUGAAGGCCUUAGGGUUGUAAAGCUCUUUUACCAGGGAUGAUAAUGACAGUACCUGGAGAAUAAGCUCCGGCUAACUCCGUGCCAGCAGCCGCGGUAAUACGGAGGGAGCUAGCGUUGUUCGGAAUUACUGGGCGUAAAGAGUACGUAGGCGGUUAUUCAAGUCAGAGGUGAAAGCCCGGGGCUCAACCCCGGAACUGCCUUUGAAACUAGAUAGCUAGAGUCUUGGAGAGGUUAGUGGAAUUCCGAGUGUAGAGGUGAAAUUCGUAGAUAUUCGGAAGAACACCAGUGGCGAAGGCGACUAACUGGACAAGUACUGACGCUGAGGUACGAAAGCGUGGGGAGCAAACAGGAUUAGAUACCCUGGUAGUCCACGCCGUAAACGAUGAUAACUAGUUGUUCGGGCACUUGGUGCCUGGAGUAGACGCGACGACUACGACUAUUAAGUUACUCCGUCCGUCGGGUAGGUACGGUCGCGAGAAUUAAACUAACAAUAGUAUAGACGGCGUGAGACGACGACCGACGACGACGACGAGGGAGUAGG
Molecule: ribosomal RNA, 612 nt
Filed under: uncultured bacterium
Lineage: Bacteria
Description: bacterial SSU rRNA
Rfam family: Bacterial small subunit ribosomal RNA (bases 1-525)
Source: RNAcentral